RNAcentral lists this ribosomal RNA (442 nucleotides) under uncultured bacterium. Its description in RNAcentral is "partial 16S ribosomal RNA". It matches the Rfam family "Bacterial small subunit ribosomal RNA", at positions 338 to 795 of the family's 1533-position model. The record is from RNAcentral.
CCUACGGUUGGCAGCAGUGGGGGAUAUUGGACAAUGGGCGCAACCCUGACCCAGCGACGCCGCGUGAGUGAAGAAGUCUUUCGGUUUGUAAACUUCUUUUCUCAGGGACGAAAGAAGUGACGGUACCUCAGUAAUAAGCCACGGCUAACUACGUGCCAGCAGCCGCGGUAAUACGUAGGUGGCAAGCGUUAUCCGGAUUUAUUGGGUGUAAGGGGGGGUAGGCGGGAAAGCAAGUCCGAUGUGAAAACUCAGGGCUCAACCCUGAGACUGCAUUUGAAACUGUUUUUCUUGAGUGCUGGAGAGGCAAGCGGAAUUCCGGGUGUAGCGGUGAAAUGCGUAGAUAUACGGAGGAACACCAGUGGCGAAGGCGGAUUGCUGGACAGUAACUGACGUUGAGGCGCGAAAGCGUGGGGAGCAAACAGGAUUAGAUACCCUUGUAGUC